GACGAACGCUGGCGGCGUGCCUAAUACGUGCCAGUCGAACGCUUCUUUCCUCCCGAGUGCUUGCACUCAAUUGGAAAGAGGAGUGGCGGACGGGUGAGUAACACGUGGGUAACCUACCCAUCAGAGGGGGAUAACACUUGGAAACAGGUGCUAAUACCGCAUAACAGUUUAUGCCGCAUGGCAUAAGAGUGAAAGGCGCUUUCGGGUGUCGUUGAUGGAUGGACCCGCGGUGCAUUAGCUAGUUGGUGAGGUAACGGCUCACCAAGGCCACGAUGCAUAGCCGACCUGAGAGGGUGAUCGGCCACACUGGGACUGAGACACGGCCCAGACUCCUACGGGAGGCAGCAGUAGGGAAUCUUCGGCAAUGGACGAAAGUCUGACCGAGCAACGCCGCGUGAGUGAAGAAGGUUUUCGGAUCGUAAAACUCUGUUGUUAGAGAAGAACAAGGACGUUAGUAACUGAACGUCCCCUGACGGUAUCUAACCAGAAAGCCACGGCUAACUACGUG
This 508-nucleotide ribosomal RNA is filed under the name uncultured bacterium. Its description in RNAcentral is "partial 16S ribosomal RNA". It matches the Rfam family "Bacterial small subunit ribosomal RNA", at positions 28 to 507 of the family's 1533-position model. The record is from RNAcentral.